Molecule: long non-coding RNA, 1563 nt
Organism: Magallana angulata
Lineage: Eukaryota; Metazoa; Mollusca; Bivalvia; Ostreida; Ostreidae
Exons: 2
Source: RefSeq, a predicted model, not a curated record
CAAUCUGAUUAAAACCAGCCGUUCUGAUACGUACUGGUCUCGAGGGUGGUAUACCUAGCGUGCCAAAAACAGCAGAUUGGCCCGAAUGAAGAACCAGAAAGGGAUUUCACUAUCAAUAAUAACAUCUAUUUUUUAACCCGUUUAUCACUUAUUCAUAAAAAGUUGGUACGUAAAUUAUCAUCAGAGUCGAUUAGAACUUAACACACAAGGAACAGCUGAGUUUUCCAAUAAAGCAAGUGCCUGAAGUUCUUAAGAACCGUUAAUACAGUUAUUCAUAAUCGAAUUUAUUAUAUGAUUGAUGAAUUCCUGGCUCUCUGAUUGGCUGAUAUCCAACUUUCUAAAAACAUUAAACGUAAUGUUCACCUGUACAUGACCUACGUGGUCAAUAUAACAUUUGGUGUUUUUUUUCUACAUUGGACGAAAAGAAUCGGGAAAUCAAAUUGAUAGGAUAGAAUUAUCAUUAUUCCUGUCGUCAAGUAAAAUAUAAUUGCGUUUCUAAGUGUGUUCGGCUACGGCUUCAAACUAAAAGGUGUUGAGGGUUUUCUUUUUUCGCUUGAUAACACUAAAUUUGAUAUCUCCGAAUCAGUUCGUCGCUGAAUCAUAUACUAGUACAUUGUAAUGAAACAUCUAUUGCUGUUUUUUUUUUCGACCAAUACGAUGAUUUAUCUAGCCUAGAAGUAUAAUAUUCACAGUAUUGACCUAAAAAAACAGCAACCUUUUAAAGGUUAACCUUUUAACCUUUACUGAUAUAUAUGCGGUGAAUAGUCUUUUAACUAUAUAGGGGUCAUGUACAGACACUGUUCAAUCUGAUUAAAAUUAGACCAUUCAUCUCGCUCUCUGUUAUGUAUGGUAUGGUAACCAUACAUAACAGAGAGCCAGACGAAAGGUCUAAUCAGAUUGAGACACUGUUUAGCCAAUUCGGCAAUAUAGAGAAAAGAUAGGAAUUCGACGAAGAGACGUCUUCAGCUCAAACAUGUAAAAGACACUUUUGAAAUGUUUUCUGCAAAUGAUAAGAUUAAUGUGACGUCAUCACUGUUUGUGGGGGACCAAUGUUCGUGGGUAACCAUUGAAAUUACAUCCCCACGAACAGGUUGGUCACACACGAACUAGUACAAAUAUUGCAAAAACUUCAGAAUAAGGAAGAUUCCUCAUGUUUUGCUCAAUAAUUGAUAUUCAAAGUAUUUUGAAGUUUUUCCUCGCAGCGGUUUGAAUUAAGUGAAGAAUUCAGAAUUUUCCAGAACACGGUGCACAGAAAAUAUCAACCAUCAACUAUAUAACGACAAAUGAGCAGAGCUGGAUUCGUAUCUGAUGAAGAAUAUGACCGGUUUGGGGAAUAGUAGGAAAUACAGGAUCAUCCCAAGGACUGCACCGACCAAAAAUGGUGCACUUUGUGUCAUGAUGACAUCCCAGGCGAUCAACCUCUCGCAAUUUUAAGGAGCCAAGACAGCUAUAACCAACUAACCACAUAAAAUGUUUAGUCUACGACAGCUAAAAGAUAACCACAUAAAUGUUUAGUCAACGAUAUAUUUUGAUACUUGUUCGUCAAUAAAACAAAACAAAUUG